CUAUCAUCCCCCUCCUCCCCUCUUGUGUGUGUGUGAGUAAAGUCCUCUUGGGCAGUUCCUUAAAUAGUUAAAAGUUAAAAACUGUAAGAAAAGGGAACCAAAGGGAUAGGUAACAUACAAGAUGGGAGGGACAAAUUUGGAACUAAACACAAAAUAAAAAUAAAUUCAAAUUAACUUAAAGAGGAGGGAGGUUGUCUACAACCUAAUGACAUCAAAAGUAAUUCAGUACCCCACUUUCCCUAAAAGUCAACCCUCUCAAAUGGAGGUCAAACUCUAGGAAUCAAUCCCCCUUGACAUGUGUUGUCAUCCUUAAGAGGAUGAGAAUGAUUGGUUGACUGAUGAAAAAUUAAUUAGAUAUAUUUUAGUUUAGGAUGAAAUUUCCAGAUUUCAGUAAAUCUGAAUUUACUCUCAAUCCAUAGGUUAGAUGCUCCUCAAAUUUGGGUUGUAACAUCCCCUAGGGUAGUUUUACUAACCCUAAAAGAUAAUCACGAUUUGACGGCUAGAUUAAAAGGAAUUAACGAAAUACAGAUUCAGAUCUCAAAAUUUUACGGAUUUCAUUAAUAUGCAAGGGCAGAAUCGAAAAUAAUAAAAUAUCUCACGAUCCAACUUUUAGAAUUAUCGCAGAUUUGAAUCAAGUUCUAAUCUAGGGAUGAUUAAAAUGUGUCCAAAACUUCAGAUCGAUUGGAUGGCUGAAUUUCUUAAUCUAGAAAACACUCUAUAUCCAACUUUCUAGAAAAAAGAAUCUUAGGUGAAGAACUUGAAAAACUAUACUUGUUGAUGGUAGAAAAUAGAAAUUGAAUAGAGAGAACUCUCAAUGGUAAUGAGAGAACACAGUAGCUUACAGAGAAGAUUUGAUCAAUUGGAUCAAACAUCGGUUUUGUCACCUUGACCAAACACAAGGAAGUCUUCACACAUGAAGAUGAGCACUAACAACAGAAAUUUUUAAUAGUAAAAUUCGUGUACAAUUCUUGACCCUCUUACAAACUUAUAUAAAAGACUCUAAAAUAGAUUUAGACACAAAGGAAAUAGACUCAAAAUAGGAGUGGACUUAUAAAUUCUUAAUCUAGUCUAACUAAGACACUUAACAAUAAGUAACAUAAAGAAAUAGAAACUCUUACUUGACUAAUCCCGUAAUCCUAGCCCAUACCCAUAUUAUAGGUCCAUAAAAGUGGCUCAUUACAAAAAAAACACUUGAAACUAAAGGCCCAACACAUAUAUAACCCAUCCCAAAGUUUAUUUCUACCAAAAUAAGCCCUAAUAGAUAUUAAAUUAGCUUCAUCACCCUUUUUUAAAACUUAUAAGAUUUGAACCCUAACCUCUCACCAACUUAACUCACAAUCACUAGGCUAACACUCAAGUUAUUAAUUUAAGUGGCAAAACAAAUAUUUAAAGAGGCUAAAGAAAAAAUAUCCUACGGUACCAAACUUUGGGGCAUUACACCCUCUCUUCGUACUAGGUUGGAUCCAUGCUAAGGUUUGGGUAUGAAUUGAUCAGGAUAGAUUUUAAGGAGAUACAUCGAAGUGACAUAGAAUAAAGAAAGAGAAGUAGGAAUUGUAAAUUCUAGAAUUAACGUGAGGUGGGGUGACACAAAGAAUAGCUUCAAUUGUAGUUUGUGAAGAUGUAUCCAUUUAAUAAUAUGGUGGCAGUAUCUUAAGAUUUAUCCGUCUAAGACUAUGGUUCAAAAUUCCGGUGGUUUCAGUCAAUACUUAUUGAAAAUUUUCAUUUUUGACCCGGCUUAAAACGAAACUUUAAGCGACUCUCUAGACAUAUCAAAUUUUGAUAGGUGUUUUGCAAUUUCAUUUUCUUUCGUUGUAUAGUUGUCAAGGCUUCACCUAGGCGUCCAGUUGGUUCUCUUGGGGUCUAGGCAAUUGUCGCCUUAUUGCAAGGUGCUUUGAAGUGGUAUUGAAGCGUGUUUAGCACUUAGUUAUGCAAAUAUUGUUUGUUAUAAAAUCGUUUCCUUAAGAUAUUAUUAAUAAAUAAGCAAAUACCCCCUAUUUAAAUCCAAUAAAAAUUGUUUCAAAAUAGAAUUCUAAAAGGAUAAAAAGUCAACCCCUCAAUUCAUGAACAAAACCUAGAUUUUUGUUGUAGGGGUGAUUUUCAACUUUCAAAUGGUGGGGUUUUUUUUCACAAAUCUGAUAAUUCCAUAAAUGUUAUUGCUAAAAACCAAAAGUGCAAUAAUAAUCUUUUGUUCUAACAUCUAUAACUUUAUCUUUCGUCUAUAAAAUUCCAAAAGGAUAAAAAGUGAACCAUAAAAUAAGUUUGACCAGAACAUAACUUUAUCAACACAACUUGGUUUUCUGCAACCUUGGAUUUGUUGGAAAGCAAGAUUUGUGUUCGACCUAUACAAAAAGUCUUAUGCAAAAAUAAAAUCAUUUUGCUAGUCAAACUUAUUAGAGAACAAGAAGAUUUCUCUGAAUGUUGAUUCUUAAUGAAUUGAUGUGACUUAAUAUUGUUUUUUACGUACUUGAUGUGGCUUAAUGUUGAUUUUUGAUUAUAUGAGGUAUAUGUCGUGUACUAAAUAAUGUUAGAAAAGAUGAAAAAUAAAAAAAUAACACUUGGUCGCCUAGGCGGGUGCUCGAGCUCUUAGACGAAGAAGAAGCAGCGGAAGAAGAGGGGGAAAAAAAAAAAACAUUCGUAGAUGAAGAAGAAGCAGAGGAAGAAGAAGCAAACUAGCAGAGGAAGAAGAGGGAAAAAAAAAAUUAGUCGCAGAACCAGAAGACGAAGUAGCAGGGAGGGAAAAAAAAAAUAUUACAAACAUACCUGAAGCAGAGGAGGGAACGAUGGAUUUCAGCCAAGUCCAACUUCAAUCUCAAUCGGUCGGUUGAAUCAAUGAAUCCAAAGUUCUCUAGGUUUAGAGGCGGAGAGAAGUAUGGCAGAGAGACUUCACCGGGAGAGAGAAACAUAGAGGGUCUUAAAUUAUAAACCUUUCAUGUUAUAUUUCCCCCCACCACCAAGCUUUUUUUUUUUUUUUUGUUCACUUGAGGAGUAAAAUGAUUCCAUGCAUCUCACACCAUUUAAAAACCUGUACUUCAUCAAAUGAAAAGUUUACAAUUAGAAUAUAAAAAACAAAUAAUUAAGUGAAAGUAAAAAAAAAAAACACACACACACAAGGCGGUCGCCUUGCCUACCAAGUCGUCCAAGGCGCCGCCUUUUGGACGCCUUAAUACCAAAGGCGACCGCCUUUUCUAUGUAAACAAUGGCGUCCCUCGCCCUAUCCCUAAAAAAAGCGCCUGGACGCCAAGGCGACGCCUUGACAGCUAUGAUAUAGACAAGGUACGACGUACACUACCAACCUGGGGUAUGAAACUAAACUAACAUUUUGAGUGUGUUUUUCAAAAUUCUAAAGGUCAUAGAUGUUAAGGCGGCCAUUGUGUUAUGGGAUGCAUUUUUUAUGUGAAUAAAUAAUUCAAUACCAAAGGAACAAGAAAAAUUAGGGGGGAGGGGAAAAGGAAAUAUAUAAGAUCCCAACAGGGGAAACAACUCAAAUAGCAGAGGAUACACCCCUAAGGGGGGGGGGAGAUGGACGGAGUAACAUGGACAAAGGAAAACCCAGGAGACAAUGGAGACAACAAUAAGCCUGUUCUUUGGGGAAUCCUCAAUAAAACAGGGAGGGAUCGAAGCAAGUUUGGAGUAGACAUCAAAGUAGAUGGAAUUCCAAAUCUUAUUAAAGGAUAUAGAGUUGGAAGUCCAUCUAUGAAAGUUACGCUCCAUCCAUGAUGGUGGCUGCCGCGGUUCUAAAGGUGAGCUUCCCAACAAUGUUGCAGAUAGAGCUGUCGGUAAAGGUCAUGUCAAUCCAUAUCCACUUUUACAAGGGGGAGGGGCCUUCUCUUGGCUUGCCAGCAUUUUGUAAGGACGCUUUUAGAUGGUGGAAGUGAAGGGGCACUUAAAGAACAGGUGAUUGAUUUCUUUAGAAUCGUUCCAACAAAGGCAACAGGUUGGAGAGACAGGCAUGUGGCGAUAUAUGAGAAAUGACUAGGUAGGGAGGCAAUUGGAGAGGGCUCUCCAGACGGUGAAGCUGUGACAGGGGAUGUGAAAUUUAAACCAGACGACUUUGUGCCAAGGAGUAGUGGGGCCUUGGGAUUGGGCUAGGUGCUAUGCAAAGGAGGAAGAGAAGCAACUCGAGGAAUAGGAUGAUCAAAUGACUCUAUCUUGUCUACUACUAGAAGGAAGAGGAGGAAGAGAGGACCAUAUGGUGGAGAGGGGGAUUAGCAGGAGGGAACAAGAGCUAUUGGAGAUGACUGAAGAAAUUUUAGUGUCCUUGGCAAGACCAGAAGAGUAGACAGUUCUUAGUCCCUAGAAUUUUGGAAGUACUAAAUUUCGGUCUCCAAUUUGCUUUCUGUUCUUCCUUGUACACAAAAAAAAGUUUCUCAUAUAUAUUUUUAUUUUGUUUUUGGCUACCCACUUACCAAUCUGAUGAAAGAAAAGGUAGAAAGUUGAACACUGAAUUAGUUUAUGUUUUUAUGAUGUAAGAACAAGGGAGAUAUCCCUCCCCACCCCCUUCCCCCAGGAAAGCGUAAGCAGAUAAGUCCAUUAUGAUCUUUUGAUUUACUUCUUUACCUUAGUUUAUGAUUGUUGCUUUACUAUUGCAACUUUGAUCCGAGUGCCUAUUACUGACUAGCAGAUCUGACUGUCUAGCAGGCUAAGUUUGAUCAUGACAGAUGGCUUGGUGAAUCAUUGACACAUCUAUGUGUUUGCCUAGCUGAAUACCAAGUUGAUUUUUCGUCCUAUUUUAGCUUACCUAUUCAGAUCUCAACGUUUCCAUGGUACAUGUACCUCUUGAUGGGUUCACCGUUUGUCCAAGUAUAAAAUGUCCUUAAGAGUAUGGUGGAUGAAACUGCUUAUUCCAGAAUGUACCUAAACCGAGAGAAUUUGGAAAAUACAAUUUGUAUGAUCAUGCCUUCACUCAAAUGUUACCCCAUCGUUGGGAAUUCAAGAGCUGUACCUCUUGAGUUAGCUUCCAUUGAUUCUGACGAAACCUUCUAUUUGGACUCAUUUUUUAGUAUUAAUGUUCUUCAUGCAAAAAAUGUGGCUGUGCUGCAAAAUAUGGGAGAGGCAAUCUUUUGUUCAAUAUACAAAAUGUUCUACAAAUUUAGCAGUCUCAUUUUAUAUUAAAAAUGCUUGAAGCAA
Macadamia integrifolia is the source of this 5127-nucleotide long non-coding RNA. RefSeq lists it as uncharacterized. The transcript has 2 exons. Lineage: Eukaryota; Viridiplantae; Streptophyta; Magnoliopsida; Proteales; Proteaceae. The record is from RefSeq and is a predicted model, not a curated record.